AGGGUUUGAUCAUGGCUCAGGAUGAACGCUAGCGGCAGGCCUAAUACAUGCAAGUCGAGGGGCAGCACGGGUAGCAAUACCUGGUGGCGACCGGCGCACGGGUGCGUAACACGUAUACAAUCUGCCUUUAACAGGGGGAUAGCCCGGAGAAAUCCGGAUUAAUACCCCAUAAUAUUUUGAGUGGCAUCACUUGAAAUUGAAAGCUCCGGCGGUUAAAGAUGAGUAUGCGUCUGAUUAGCUAGUUGGUGAGGUAACGGCUCACCAAGGCGACGAUCAGUAGGGGAUCUGAGAGGACUACCCCCCACACGGAUACUGAGACACGGAUCCGACUCCUACGGGAGGCAGCAGUAAGGAAUAUUGGACAAUGCCCGCAAGGGUGAUCCAGCCAUGCCGCGUGCAGGAAGACAGCCCUAUGGGUUGUAAACUGCUUUUACACAAGAGAAAACCUCUUCUCGUGAGGAGAGCUGAUAGUAUUGUGAGAAUAAGCAUCGGCUAACUUCGUGCCAGCAGCCGCGGUAAGACGAAGGAUGCAAGCGUUAUCCGGAUUCAUUGGGUUUAAAGGGAGCGUAGGUGGCCUUAUAAGUCAGUGGUGAAAUCUCUGGGCUUAACCCAGAAAUUGCCAUUGAUACUGUAGGGCUUGAGUAUAGAUGCCGUUGGCGGAAUAUGACAUGUAGUGGUGAAAUACAUAGAGAUGUCAUAGAACACCGAUUGCGAAGGCAGCUAACGAAACUAUAACUGACACUGAGGCUCGAAAGUGUGGGGAUCAAACAGGAUUAGAUACCCUGGUAGUCCACACUGUAAAC
This 803-nucleotide ribosomal RNA is filed under the name uncultured Bacteroidota bacterium. RNAcentral describes it as "bacterial SSU rRNA". It matches the Rfam family "Bacterial small subunit ribosomal RNA", at positions 8 to 807 of the family's 1533-position model. The record is from RNAcentral. Lineage: Bacteria; Pseudomonadati; Bacteroidota.